UAGGGAAUCUUCGGCAAUGGACGGAAGUCUGACCGAGCAACGCCGCGUGAGUGAAGAAGGUUUUCGGAUCGUAAAGCUCUGUUGUAAGAGAAGAACGAGUGUGAGAGUGGAAAGUUCACACUGUGGCGGUAUCUUACCAGAAAGGGACGGCUAACUACGUGCCAGCAGCCGCGGUAAUACGUAGGUCCCGAGCGUUGUCCGGAUUUAUUGGGCGUAAAGCGAGCGCAGGCGGUUAGAUAAGUCUGAAGUUAAAGGCUGUGGCUUAACCAUAGUAGGCUUUGGAAACUGUUUAACUUGAGUGCAAGAGGGGAGAGUGGAAUUCCAUGUGUAGCGGUGAAAUGCGUAGAUAUAUGGAGGAACACCGGUGGCGAAAGCGGCUCUCUGGCUUGUAACUGACGCUGAGGCUCGAAAGCGUGGGGAGCAAACAGGAUUAGAUACCCUGGUAGUCCACGCUGUAAACGAUGAGUGCUAGGUGUUAGACCCUUUCCGGGGUUUAGUGCCGUAGCUAACGCAUUAAGCACUCCGCCUGGGGAGUACGACCGCAAGGUUG
Molecule: ribosomal RNA, 550 nt
Filed under: uncultured bacterium
Lineage: Bacteria
Description: bacterial SSU rRNA
Rfam family: Bacterial small subunit ribosomal RNA
Source: RNAcentral